CUUUUUAGGGCUGCACCUGUGGCAUAUGGAGGUUCCCAGGCUAGGGGUCGAACUGGAGCUGUUGCUGCUGGCCUACACCACAGCCAUAGCAAUGUGGGAUCUGAGCCACGUCCAUGACCUAUACAACAGCUCAUGGCAACACUGGAUCCUUAACCCACCAAGCGAGGCCAGGGAUCAAACCCGCAACCUCAUUGCUCCUAGUCAGAUUUUUUGAUUUAAAGUCAUGGCAGGUUCCAGCGACCUACAUCAGUUCCCAGGAUUCAUUUAAGGAGUGAACCCAAGAAACUCCAGGAAGACAGAAGUCCUACAAAGUGGAGGGUUUCGAAUUUAUUGUCUUAGAUUUUAAAGUCCAAAACACUUAUAGUGGAUUUCUGAAUUACUGCCAAGGAUGUUCUACCUGAUGAGUUUCUCGAUGCUGUUUGUAUUCUAAAGAAGCAAUUCAGUAAUUUCUCUGUAAUCAAAAGUUGUCAAUUUAACUCACAAAGGAAGUUAGGCUUUUUUUAAAUAAAGGAUGCCAUUCCAGGGACUUAAAAGACUUGCAGAGCUGGACAUAAAAACAGAGGCAGGUUAUGGAUUUAAUAUAUAAGUGACAUUUAUUAACUUCAACAUAACGACCACCUAAUGAAAAGUGAGCUUGCCAGUACUUCCAUUUGGGAGGAUGAUUUUAACAUCUUUACUGCUUUUCUCUUUCCUUUUCUCAUGCCACAGAUCACCUCUCAGCACCAAAACAGAACAGCAUGCAUCACGGCAGGCUCUCUUCAUGCUCAUCCUGAACACUGAAUUCCCAGCAGAAAUGCACCCAAGAAGACACACGUGGAUGAAGGCAGGGGAAGGCUGUUGGUUGAAACUCAGACAAAACAAUUUGGCCCCUACCAGGCACCCAUGAAGAGGCCGUUUCAACAGCCCUAAUCUAUAUCUGGUUCCUAAGGUGCCCUUCCAUCUAAUCAACAUUUCUGAAAUAUUAAUGUCCGACCAUUACAGGGAGAUCUUGUGCACGUGCACUGCCAGAUUCUGAUUCGGUAGGUCUGGGGUAGGGCCUAAGAGUCUGCAUUUCUAAGUUCCCAGGUGAUGCUAAUACUGCGGGUCCAUGGAUCACACCUUUAAGUACAAGGAACUAGAUAUUUUUGAUGGGUAAGAAAAGAGAGUGAUGGUGAAAGAUUAUGUCUCCUGUCUCACAUCUACUAAGGUGUCAGUGGUAGUGGUUAAUUGAGAAAGCCCAUGGAGUCCUCAAUUUCUUUGAGAAAUAUUAUCAGGCUCCCAUCCACACUGUAUCAAUGGUACCCAUACUUAGGCUGGGACCUUACCCCUGGCCAGAGCUGACUGGAUCAAGGAUGGUCAUGUGCUCAGUGCUGAGCCAAUCAGCUUUCUGCCUCUCUUGCAAUUCUGGGAUCAGAGUUCAGAGAUGCCAGUCAAGAGCUUCAUGAACAUCUGGAACUGUCUUUGUACCUCAGGUGGAAAGAGAAAUGGGGACAGAGAAAAAUAGCACUGGAG
This 1491-nucleotide long non-coding RNA is filed under the name Sus scrofa (pig). RNAcentral describes it as "lncRNA (ENSSSCG00055010388.1)". Lineage: Eukaryota; Metazoa; Chordata; Mammalia; Artiodactyla; Suidae. The record is from RNAcentral.